AACGCGAAGAACCUUACCUGGGUUUGACAUGCACAGGACGCGUCUAGAGAUAGGCGUUCCCUUGUGGCCUGUGUGCAGGUGGUGCAUGGCUGUCGUCAGCUCGUGUCGUGAGAUGUUGGGUUAAGUCCCGCAACGAGCGCAACCCUUAUUUCAUGUUGCCAGCGGGUAAUGCCGGGGACUCGUGAGAGACUGCCGGGGUCAACUCGGAGGAAGGUGGGGAUGACGUCAAGUCAUCAUGCCCCUUAUGUCCAGGGCUUCACACAUGCUACAAUGGCCGGUACAAAGGGCUGCGAUGCCGCAAGGCUUAGCGAAUCCUUUUAAAGCCGGUCUCAGUUCGGAUCGGGGUCUGCAACUCGACCCCGUGAAGUCGGAGUCGCUAGUAAUCGCAGAUCAGCAACGCUGCGGUGAAUACGUUCCCGGGCCUUGUA
RNAcentral lists this ribosomal RNA (428 nucleotides) under uncultured Actinomycetes bacterium. RNAcentral describes it as "bacterial SSU rRNA". It matches the Rfam family "Bacterial small subunit ribosomal RNA", at positions 958 to 1385 of the family's 1533-position model. The record is from RNAcentral. Lineage: Bacteria; Bacillati; Actinomycetota; Actinomycetes.